Long non-coding RNA from Fundulus heteroclitus (mummichog), 295 nucleotides. RefSeq lists it as uncharacterized. NCBI's taxonomy places the organism in Eukaryota, Metazoa, Chordata, Actinopteri, Cyprinodontiformes, Fundulidae. The transcript is spliced from 4 exons. The record is from RefSeq and is a predicted model, not a curated record.
AAGGCAAGUGGUGAAGGUGAAGCUGGUGGAAAACUCUGCUCUGGAUCUGAAUGACCCCAAUGUCCUGGGAACCCUGUUGGACGAGCUCAAACACAAGGUGGAGGACCAGGGAGUGAGAGCAGCCAUCAAACUCAGCUGGAAGAAACAGCCUGAUGGAAAGAUCUUCUACAAGGAGAAGCAGGACGACCAUAACUAACCCAAAGAUACUUGAGGCAUGUAACAAGCAAAGAUCCUCUGAGGUAAAGGUACUGCUCCACUAACAGAUGUCUGAUCGUGUUUCUUGCAUCAAUAAACU